This 823-nucleotide ribosomal RNA is filed under the name Hongkongmyces thailandicus. RNAcentral describes it as "eukaryotic LSU rRNA". It matches the Rfam family "Eukaryotic large subunit ribosomal RNA", at positions 64 to 905 of the family's 3401-position model. Lineage: Eukaryota; Fungi; Ascomycota; Dothideomycetes; Pleosporales; Lindgomycetaceae. The record is from RNAcentral.
UACAACAGGGAUUGCCCUAGUACGGCGAGUGAAGCGGCAACAGCUCAAAUUUGAAAUCUGGCUCCUUUCGGGGUCCGAGUUGUAAUUUGUAGAGGGUGCUUUGGCGUCGGCCAUGGUCUAAGUUCCUUGGAACAGGACGUCACAGAGGGUGAGAAUCCCGUACGUGGCCGCUGGCCUUCGCCAUGUAAAGCCCCUUCGACGAGUCGAGUUGUUUGGGAAUGCAGCUCUAAAUGGGAGGUAAAUUUCUUCUAAAGCUAAAUAUUGGCCAGAGACCGAUAGCGCACAAGUAGAGUGAUCGAAAGAUGAAAAGCACUUUGGAAAGAGAGUCAAAAAGCACGUGAAAUUGUUGAAAGGGAAGCGCUUGCAGCCAGACUUGCUCGUAGUUGCUCAUCCAGGUUUCGGCCUGGUGCACUCUUCUGCGGGCAGGCCAGCAUCAGUCCAGGCGGCCGGAUAAAGGUCUCGGGAAUGUGGCUCUCUUCGGGGAGUGUUAUAGCCCGGGGCGCAAUGCGGCCAGCUUGGACUGAGGUCCGCGCAUCUGCUAGGAUGCUGGCGUAAUGGCUGUAAGCGGCCCGUCUUGAAACACGGACCAAGGAGUCUAACAUCUAUGCGAGUGUUUGGGUGUCAAGCCCGAGCGCGCAAUGAAAGUGAACGGAGGUGGGAACCCGCAAGGGCGCACCAUCGACCGAUCCUGAUGUCUUCUGAUGGAUUUGAGUAAGAGCAUAGCUGUUGGGACCCGAAAGAUGGUGAACUAUGACUGAAUACUGUGAAGACAGAGGAAACUCUGGUGGAGGCUCGCAGCGGUUCUGACGUGCGUAUCGAUCGU